Molecule: ribosomal RNA, 509 nt
Filed under: uncultured bacterium
Lineage: Bacteria
Description: bacterial SSU rRNA
Rfam family: Bacterial small subunit ribosomal RNA
Source: RNAcentral
ACUAGCAGUAAGAGUUUGAUCCUGGCUCAGGACGAACGCUGGCGGCGUGCCUAACACAUGCAAGUCAAACGGGACCAGGGGCAACUCUGGUUCAGUGGCGGACGGGUGCGUAACACGUGAGGAACAUGACUUUCGGCGGGGGAUAGCCGGCCCAACGGCCGGGUAAUACCGCGUACGACCUCUCGGGGACAUCCCCGGUUGGUGAAAGCAGCAAUGCACCGAAAGAGUGCCUCGCGGCCUAUCAGCUAGUUGGUGGGGUAACGGCUCACCAAGGCGACGACGGGUAGCUGGUCUGAGAGGAUGGCCAGCCACAUUGGGACUGAGACACGGCCCAGACUCCUACGGGAGGCAGCAGUGGGGAAUAUUGGACAAUGGGGGAAACCCUGAUCCAGCCAUGCCGCGUGAAUGAAGAAGGCCUUAGGGUUGUAAAGUUCUUUUAGCGGGGAAGAUAAUGACGGUACCCGCAGAAAAAGCCCCGGCUAACUACGUGCCAGCCGCCGCGGUAAUUC